ACCAUUCUCAUUAGAUAAAUUAUAUUCCAUUUCAAAGUUGCCUCAAGUGAGGUUACAAAACCCUACUUAAAGCAAGGACACCUAAAUCUACAGGAGAUCAACUAAAUCUAAAUUAAAAUUCUUAUAAUUUCAAAUUAAAAUAAACUAAAAAUUAUUAUAAAUCAAAUUAAAAUAAACAUAAUUCAUUCUAAUUUAUUGAAAUAUAGAUUAUCUUCAUAAUAUUGUGGUCCUUAUCAUUUCAUUUCCUACAUAUCCUUCCUUUUGGUAAUCCUAAAUUGCUUUUUCUAUUUUAUGAGUCAUGAAUCUUGCUAAGACAAUCUGUGAGACACUCACAAAUAAAUAGGAGGAGCAAUUUUCCAAGCGAAUAAACAUUGUAAUCCUCUUCUACAUCUUCUUAGAGGUCUAGAUUUUCUAGGUGUUCCCUUGUUCUCAUAAAGAUCAUAUAUUUUUCCAUUAUCGAUAGGAGGAGCAAUUUGUGAAAGCUUUGAUAUUGUUAGCAAUAUAGAAAACCACAAACAAAGGAGAGAACAAAAGACGAGUAUAUU
Molecule: long non-coding RNA, 545 nt
Filed under: Cicer arietinum (chickpea)
Lineage: Eukaryota; Viridiplantae; Streptophyta; Magnoliopsida; Fabales; Fabaceae
Description: long non-coding RNA (CARI_LNC002335)
Source: RNAcentral